UCCACGCCGUAAACGAUGCCGACUAGCUAUUGGAAGUAUCGACCCUUCUUGUAGCGAAGCUAACGCGUUAAGUCGGCCGCCUGGGAAGUACGGCCGCAAGGCUAAAACUCAAAGGAAUUGACGGGGGCUUGCACAAGCGGUGGAGCAUGUGGUUUAAUUCGACAAUAAGCGAAGAACCUUACCAGGGAUUGACAUCUCCGGAACCCCGCAGAAAUGUGGGGGUGCCUUCGGGAACCGGAUGACAGGUGCUGCACGGUCGUCGUCAGCUCGUGUCGUGAGAUGUUCGGUUAAGUCCGAUAACGAGCGAAACCCCCAUCCCGAG
Molecule: ribosomal RNA, 322 nt
Filed under: uncultured bacterium
Lineage: Bacteria
Description: bacterial SSU rRNA
Rfam family: Bacterial small subunit ribosomal RNA
Source: RNAcentral